AGAGUUUGAUCAUGGCUCAGGAUGAACGCUGGCGGCGUGCUUAAUACAUGCAAGUCGAACGGAAAUUGACGGUAAACGGAAGGCAGCUUGCUGCCGGAAGUUUUUGUUAAUUUUAGUGGCGGACGGGUGAGUAACACGUGAGCAACCUGCCUUUCAGAGGGGGAUAACGGCUGGAAACGGUCGCUAAUACCGCAUAACAUACCGAAUCGGCAUCGGUUUGGUAUCAAAGGAGCAAUCCGCUGAAAGAUGGGCUCGCGUCUGAUUAGAUAGUUGGUGGGGUAACGGCCUACCAAGUCGACGAUCAGUAGCCGGACUGAGAGGUUGAACGGCCACAUUGGGACUGAGAUACGGCCCAGACUCCUACGGGAGGCAGCAGUAGGGAAUAUUGCACAAUGGGGGAAACCCUGAUGCAGCAACGCCGCGUGAAGGAAGACGGUUUUCGGAUUGUAAACUUCUUUUCUUAGUGAAGAAGAAAGUGACGGUAGCUAAGGAAUAAGCAUCGGCUAACUACGUGCCAGCAGCCGCGGUAAUACGUAGGAUGCGAGCGUUAUCCGGAAUUACUGGGUGUAAAGGGAGCGCAGGCGGGACAGCAAGUUGGAUGUGAAAUACCGGGGCUCAACCCCGGAACUGCAUCCAAAACUGCCGUUCUUGAGUGAAGUAGAGGCAAGCGGAAUUCCGAGUGUAGCGGUGAAAUGCGUAGAUAUUCGGAGGAACACCAGUGGCGAAGGCGGCUUGCUGGGCUUUAACUGACGCUGAGGCUCGAAAGUGUGGGGAGCAAACAGGAUUAGAUACCCUGGUAG
This 800-nucleotide ribosomal RNA is filed under the name uncultured bacterium. RNAcentral describes it as "bacterial SSU rRNA". It matches the Rfam family "Bacterial small subunit ribosomal RNA", at positions 8 to 793 of the family's 1533-position model. The record is from RNAcentral.